Non-coding RNA from Chiloscyllium plagiosum (whitespotted bambooshark), 2150 nucleotides. The record is from RefSeq and is a predicted model, not a curated record. Lineage: Eukaryota; Metazoa; Chordata; Chondrichthyes; Orectolobiformes; Hemiscylliidae.
AGGGAACUGUUACUUCACUGACUGGAUACAGCCUGUGGGUUACUCUUUUUCUCUUGCAAAAGUACAAUGUUGAUUUUUGAGAUGGAAGUGGACAUGGGCUUGGAAGGCGCUGCCUAAAGGAUCAUUGAGGAAUUUCUGAAGUACUAUCUACAAGAUGCACAUGUUUCUGCUAUUGAACAUCAGUGGUAGAGGCAGUGGAUAUCGUGCCAAACAAGCAGGCUGCUUUGUACUGGAUGAUGUCAAGCUUCCCAAGUGUUAAAGCUGCACCCAUCCAGACAAGUGGGGGGUAUUUCAUCGCACUCUGGACUUGUGCCUUUGAGAUGGUGGACAGGCUUUGAAAGUCAGGAAGUGAGUUACUUGCUGCAGUAUUCCUUGCCUCAGACUUGCUUUGCAGGCAUUGUAUUUUUUUGUGCUAUAUUUAACAAUGGCCUGAAGAUUGAAAGUGGUGGAAAUCUGCAUCUGAUUGAAAACUCCAUGGGAAAGAUGACUGGAACUACACAGGUAUUUAUACCAAAAGAUAAGUUGGUGGAAUUGCCCUUAACCUAAUACACACAGUGGAUCCUUCAUAUUAGACCGAACUGAGAACAGGGAAGUCGAACUGAGGACCUCAUUUGGGAAAAAGACAUCCAAGAGGAGGAAGCCAGCCGAAGAGCUUCUGAAAUCUGACCUUUCCAAGCCAACAACAUCAAUGGCGAGAACCUCAACAACUGACCACGACUAUCCAAAUGACCAAAAACUCAAAGAAACAACUGACUCAACUGAUAUCACCGGUCCUCAGACUGAGGUGAAAACUGGGCUUGUCAAAACAGCAUAAAGUAAAGAAAACCAGAUACUUACUCAAUACAUUCAAUACCCACCUAACCAUAUGAGCAGACUCAGCCCAAACUGAAGAACCUACACCUAUCUGAAGUCUUCAUCCAGGCUCUGGAUAGGGCAAGCAGGAAUAGCCAGGUGCAUUUCAAAUCAGUGUUCUGCAUGUUGAGCACAAACUCCGACUCGAAGUUCCAACAUAGCUAGAAGGGAGGGAAAGGAGGGUGCUGAUAAUGCAUUGGGACCUGUGGGUAGGAAUUCUGAUUUAAGAGUGAAAAACUAAACAGUGUUUGUAUUCUGUGUCAAUAAGAUGGUGUCAAAUCAUGGUAAUCUAGUUAAGAGUGUAUUUUAAGGUACUACUGUUUUCCUGUGUAUUAAUUGUUAAUUUCCUUUUAUUGCAUUACCUAUUUCUUGUACUUUGAUUUUUUUUGUACCUUAAUUAGAUGCAGAGAUUCUUUUGCUCUUUCACACCUGUCUACUGCCUCUUCAUUUCAUGUCCCCAUAAAUUAGUCCAGUGUCCAGAACCUGGGGUUGGGAGCAAUUCAAACUGCUUAAAGAUCGGAAAAAUAACUGAUUGCAAACCAAAAUGCUACGGUAGUCACUUGGAACUUGGAAGAAAUGAAAAGUGUCAUGAGUACUUCAAUUUACAAGCUUUGGUCAAGUCAUGGAAAAUGUUUCUCAAAUACAUUCUCAGGAGUAAGAAAGUUGGCAGUUAUUGUCUGUGCUGCCUUCCUGCACAUACUGUGACACAUGAUUCUAGCCAAUAUAGACAUCUUACUGACAAAUCAUUCUAUUCUCAUUUCAACCUUCUCUCUGGUAGCUUCCUCCCAAUUUCUUUAGCAGGAAAGCUGCAGACAUUCUUCAUCCUAACUGCAUUUUUUUUUUACCUCAAAUGCACAGUUAACACCGUUACCUUGUGGGAAAUAGUUAUCUUUUUAUGUGAGAGGGUAGUGGAUAGGGGUUUAACACUAAGGAUCAAUGCUGGGGCUACUGUUCUUUUUUAUAUACAUAUAAAUUGCUUAGAUGUAUAAACACAGAGGAAAGUGUCAAAAUUUCUCAAAGAUACCAAAUUUGGUGGAGUGGAAACACCAUGGACAAUACAAACUGGCUCCAAGGAUAUAAAUAUAUUAACAGAAUGGGCUGACAAACGGUUAAUAGAAUUUGAUACAACAAAGUGUGACCUAGUGCAUUCUGUCAGAUGGGGGAGGGAUAAAUCACACAGGCUUAAGUUCAGUGGGCCUCACGAGGUCAGGUAGGAGAGAAUAUAUCAAGAGUGAGACAUGGCCCAAAUGAGUAUAUAAUUUGGGGAAUUUGGAAGCAAUGUGGAAAUUUGGUUAGGG